Long non-coding RNA from Gasterosteus aculeatus aculeatus (three-spined stickleback), 933 nucleotides. The record is from Ensembl. Lineage: Eukaryota; Metazoa; Chordata; Actinopteri; Perciformes; Gasterosteidae.
AAGAACGUUGGAUCAGCAGGAAACAGCCACUCCUGAUGAAUCCACUUCCUCCUGGUUGACGUCUGUGUUUUAUUUCAGUAUAAACAACAAAACACUGAUAUGCACAAUGUAAGUUUAUAAGAAAAAAAUUAUGUAUUCAUUAAUUAGGUAUAAUUGAUACAAUGCAUGUAGCGGAAUUAUUUCUCCUUGUACGUAGACUAAUCAAGUUAACAACAGUGUUUGCUCACAAAACAAACCUUUGAGUACAAACCAACAGGUGCACAGCAACAGCGAUCAGGAGCAAAUACACUUCUCUAAUAUGGAUUUGUAAUAGUUAUGUAUUUUAUUAUAUAUCAGAGUGCAGUUGUCUUUAAUUAUGUUAAUUCAAUGCACUUUUGCAAAUAGUGUAUCAGGAAAUCUACCUGAUUCAAUUAUAAAGAGUACUUUUUUACAAUACAAUUCUUUGGAUCAUGGUGUAGUUUUUUCAAUUAUAACAAAAAGAUUUGUAUUUUAUGUUUUUUUAGCUUCUGAAUUAACUUUUCAAUUCUUUGUUCAGGCAAAUUUUGUUAAUCUCAUUAAUAGUAAAUUUCAAAUGUUUUGUCAAAUUAGUAAAAACAGUAAUAGUAUUGUAUAAAUAUAGGAGUUGAUAGGAGAGAGGUGAGAGUGAGAGAAGAGAAUCUCUCAGAUCAUUCAAAAAGGUAGAUCAGGUUGCAAUAACCUUAGGUUCAGGUUUCAGGGUUCAGGGUUCAGGUUUCAGAAUAUCAGGGUUUUCAGGCUUCUGUAUACAGAUAGAGUGGGAUAGAAGAGGGAUACAAAGAUAGAGUUUCCAAAAUCAGACAGAGCGGUAGAUUUGACAGGAAAGCUAGAGUUAUCAAAUUGUAGACAGAGUGGAUACAAGGUAUAGGAGAGACAGAGAGCCAAUGGGAUAGAGGAGGAGAGAUGCUGGACAGCAGG